RNAcentral lists this ribosomal RNA (447 nucleotides) under uncultured bacterium. RNAcentral describes it as "bacterial SSU rRNA". It matches the Rfam family "Bacterial small subunit ribosomal RNA", at positions 329 to 793 of the family's 1533-position model. The record is from RNAcentral.
UUCCAGACUCCUACGGGAGGCAGCAGUGGGGAAUAUUGCACAAUGGGGGAAACCCUGAUGCAGCGACGCCGCGUGAGUGAAGAAGUAUUUCGGUAUGUAAAGCUCUAUCAGCAGGGAAGAAAAUGACGGUACCUGAUUAAGAAGCCCCGGCUAACUACGUGCCAGCAGCCGCGGUAAUACGUAGGGGGCAAGCGUUAUCCGGAUUUACUGGGUGUAAAGGGAGCGUAGACGGUGAUGCAAGUCAGAAGUGAAAGCCCGGGGCUCAACUCCGGGACUGCUUUUGAAACUGUGUGACUGGAGUGCAGGAGAGGUAAGCGGAAUUCCUGGUGUAGCGGUGAAAUGCGUAGAUAUCAGGAGGAACACCAGUGGCGAAGGCGGCUUACUGGACUGUAACUGACGUUGAGGCUCGAAAGCGUGGGGAGCAAACAGGAUUAGAUACCCCCGUAC